Molecule: non-coding RNA, 166 nt
Filed under: Amborella trichopoda
Lineage: Eukaryota; Viridiplantae; Streptophyta; Magnoliopsida; Amborellales; Amborellaceae
Description: Bacterial large subunit ribosomal RNA
Rfam family: Bacterial large subunit ribosomal RNA
Source: Rfam by way of RNAcentral
GCCUAAAGAGUAACGAAAGCGUGUGAAGGUAAGCUCAAACUGGUCAGAAAUCAAUCUAAGAGCGCAAUGGUAUAAGCUUGCCUGACUGUGAGACACGCACAUCGAGCAGGUACGAAAGUAGGCCAUAGUGACCUGGGAGUACCAUGUGGAAGGGCUCUCGCUUAAU